GAUGAACGCUGACAGAAUGCUUAACACAUGCAAGUCAUUGGCGAAGCUGCGCUUGCGCAGUCUAGCCAAGGCGGACGGGUGAGUAACGCGUAAGGAACUUGCUCUGCAGACAGGGAUAACAGACGGAAACGACUGAUAACACCUCGUAUUGUCAGUCUGGCGCAUGCCGUCCUGAUGAAAGGAGACGCUGCAGGGGAGCCUUGCGUCCUAUUAGCCAGUUGGUGGGGUAACUGCCCACCAAGGCGAUGAUAGGUAGCCGGCCUGAGAGGGUGAACGGCCACAAGGGGACAGAGAUACGGCCCUUACUCCUACGGGAGGCAGCAGUGGGGAAUAUUGGACAAUGGGGGCAACCCUGAUAGAGCAAUUCUGUGUGCAAGAAGAAGGUUUUCGGAUUGUAAAGUGCUUUCAGCAGGGAAGAAGAAAGUGACGGUACCUGCAGAAGAAGCGACGGCUAAAUACGUG
Molecule: ribosomal RNA, 462 nt
Filed under: uncultured bacterium
Lineage: Bacteria
Description: partial 16S ribosomal RNA
Rfam family: Bacterial small subunit ribosomal RNA
Source: RNAcentral